CCUACGGGAGGCAGCAGUGGGGAAUUUUGGACAAUGGGCGCAAGCCUGAUCCAGCAAUGCCGCGUGCAGGAAGAAGGCCUUCGGGUUGUAAACCGCUUUUGUACGGAGCGAAAAAGCUCUCUCUAAUACAGGGGGCUCAUGACGGUACCGUAAGAAUAAGCACCGGCUAACUACGUGCCAGCAGCCGCGGUAAU
This 194-nucleotide ribosomal RNA is filed under the name uncultured bacterium. RNAcentral describes it as "partial 16S ribosomal RNA". It matches the Rfam family "Bacterial small subunit ribosomal RNA", at positions 338 to 524 of the family's 1533-position model. The record is from RNAcentral.